RNAcentral lists this non-coding RNA (215 nucleotides) under Alkalibacterium sp. RNAcentral describes it as "T-box sequence". It matches the Rfam family "T-box leader". From Rfam's summary of the family: Uncharged tRNA acts as the effector for transcription antitermination of genes in the T-box leader family. T-boxes are found upstream of many aminoacyl-tRNA synthetase genes and some amino acid biosynthetic genes usually in Gram-positive bacteria. The record is from RNAcentral. Lineage: Bacteria; Bacillati; Bacillota; Bacilli; Lactobacillales; Carnobacteriaceae.
AACGUAUCGACAAGUAAGAGGAGUACAUGCACUUGUUUUCACUACAGAGAACCUGCAGGGCUGAGAAGCAGGUAUGGACAGUGCAUGGAAUGGACUUAUGAGAACCUGUCUGAAAAAGAGUAGGACUGGUCGCUUCAUCCCCGAUAACGGAUGAGAGUGCAGGAGGUUUCCUCCUGAAUUGUGGUGGUACCGCGGUAAAUUUUAUCGUCCCGCAU